RNAcentral lists this transfer RNA (77 nucleotides) under Streptomyces phage Wakanda. Its description in RNAcentral is "tRNA-Phe". It matches the Rfam family "tRNA". From Rfam's summary of the family: Transfer RNA (tRNA) molecules are approximately 80 nucleotides in length. Their secondary structure includes four short double-helical elements and three loops (D, anti-codon, and T loops). Further hydrogen bonds mediate the characteristic L-shaped molecular structure. tRNAs have two regions of fundamental functional importance: the anti-codon, which is responsible for specific mRNA codon recognition, and the 3' end, to which the tRNAs corresponding amino acid is attached (by aminoacyl-tRNA synthetases). tRNAs cope with the degeneracy of the genetic code in two manners: having more than one tRNA (with a specific anti-codon) for a particular amino acid; and 'wobble' base-pairing, i.e. permitting non-standard base-pairing at the 3rd anti-codon position. The record is from RNAcentral. RNAcentral also lists the same sequence under 1 other name. Lineage: Duplodnaviria; Heunggongvirae; Uroviricota; Caudoviricetes; Stanwilliamsviridae.
GGGGCCGUAGCUCAGUCUGGUCAGAGCGCUCGGUUGAAACCCGAGAGGUUCGUUGGUUCGAUUCCAACCGGUCCCAC